GCACCUUCAUUUUCCAUUCAGUUCCUCCGGCCAAAAAACCUUGGGAUCAUCUUUGACUCCUGUCUCCCUCUCUUUUCAUAAUCUCAAGCUCUCUUUCUCUCCACCCCACCCUUACCCCCCAUUCACCAUCAGCAAAUACUGUUGGUUCUACUUUCAAAAUAUACCAGCAGUUUGACCCCUUUUCCACCUGAACUGCCCACCUGUAUGAGUGCAGCAGCCUCCUCAUGGUUCUCCUGCUUCCCCCUCGGCCCCCUGGAAUCCAUUCUAUGCAGCAGCCAGAGUGACCCUGCUGGAACUUAGGCCAGAUCCUGCACUUCUCUGCCCCAAACCUAGCAAUGGCUCCCAGUUCAUUCAGGGUCAAAGCAGAGUCCUGCCUGGGGCCCCCGCUUGCUCCCUCUCUGCCCUCAGCUCCUGCCACCCCCCAUCUUGCCCACUGACCUCCAUCAUACCAUGUGUAUUCUCACCUCAGGACCUUUGCACUUGCUGUUCCUUCUCCCCAGUAUCUACUUCCUUCUGGUAUUUACAUCGAUCAAAUGUCACCUGCUCAGAGAGACUUUCCCUUACCUCCCUGCCCCAUCCUCUCCCCACUGGGUUGUUCUUUCCCUGCUCUGUUGCUCCUCAGCAACUAUUCCCACGUGACCUUAUGUUAUACAUGUAUGUGUCUAUUACUAGAACGUAACCUGCACUAGGGCAGAGCCCCGCCUGUCUUCUCACUGCUGUAUCCCUGAUGCUUAAUAAACAUUUGUGGAAUGAAAAGCUAGAUGGAUGGAUUCCAUGAAGGGACAGCAAAUACUAAACACCUGGUCUGUAUCAGGUUCUGUGCUGGGUGCUGAGGCGACACAUGUGAACAGGACCUCCUGUGCCACCCACAGUGCCCUAGUCUGAGGAGGGAGACAGACGCCAAGCCAGAAAUCAUGAAGCAGGUGGAAUGGGGUGGUGUCCGGGAAUGAGCUCAGAGGAGGAAUUGGUCCAGCCGGUCCGAGGGAGCUUCCUGGAGGAGGGGGCAUACUCAGGGCCACCUGGGAGGUGAAUAGAAAUUGGGCAGGGAGGAGGGUCAGGCAGACAGGUAGGCAGUGUGCUCCAGGGGCUGAGGACCGGCCUGGUGGGCAGGUAACCUCAUAUUAAAGUCAAUAGGGGUCAGGUGGGUGGAGAGAAGGGCAAGUUUUCCAGGUUGGGGUCACCAUGUGGGGAAAGGCCCCGAGGUGGGAAUGAGUGUGGGCAGCGUGGCUGGCGGAGAUGGACUGAGGAGGGGCUUAAGCGCUGCCUGGAGAGGCGUUAGGCAGAGCAGCAGAGCCUGGGCUGGAAUCCUGGCUCUUCCCCUCCAAUGGUGUGAUCCUGGAUGCAUCACUUCUCUUUUCAGCAGCUCAGUUUUCCCAUCAGUGGACUCCUGACUAUGUGCCUUUUCUGCUGCGUGUCCUGCCUCACAGAGAGGGUGAGACUUAAACCUGGAGGGAGGGAUCCAGGGAAGAGAGGAGAAUGCCAGGAAAAGCAUGGUGAGCAGGGGGAACAGAAUAUGCAAAGACAUGGGGCCUUUCUUCUGGAUGUGUUUCUCCAGUCGCUCCCUCAGGGAGCAGCGAGGCAGGGAAGACAGUGAAAGGGGCAGCCUGGCUGUCCCCAGCGGAGGCCAGCCCUGGAGCAUGCCUGGUUCUCCACUUGAGGGGCCAGCCAGCGUUGGCCUCACACUCGGGUGAGCACCACAGCCCUGAGACAGGCCCGCGAAGCUGGAGAAGCCAAGGCUCAGAGCAGAGAGGUGACUGGCAGCCACAUUACCACAUGGCUGGUAAGUGGCAGACAAGGGACUUGAAUCCAGACCUACCUGUCCCCACUCCCUGCUGUCCUUUCACAAGACUGAGCCACCUGUGGGUGGGCCAGGUCUCGGGGAGCCAGGAUCGCACAGGUCCAUCACACAGGUGUGAGGAACCUGCUCAUGCCAGGCUCUGAGACUGAGUCCCAUGCCCCCACCGCAGGGCUGCCGUGAUCAAGGCCACUUCCUCCUUUGGGGGAGGUGAGUCAGGCCUCUGGAAACCCUCUAAGCCUCUCCCCUUGGCUGGAACUUCUCUGAAGACUCUGGAAGCUCCUGGAAUAUUCCAGGUUUAUUGACUCCCUGGAGCCUCCCAACCACCCCUCAAACAGGGGCUGUUGUUAUCCCCAUUUGACAGAUCGGGAGACAGAGGCUCGGAGAGGAGCAGUUACCCAGGGGAGACACACAGGUUAAAUGGGGAGGUCCUGCUGGGUUCAUUCUCUGAGGCUGCUUUAGGGACAGAGGGCCUAGGCCAUAUACAGCUGAGAGCUGGUGCACGGGGCUAAUUUCAGCCUACACUAAGAACUUUCUUCCAGGUAUGCCCAAGAUGGACACUUUGCAGGAGUUUCAACAACCUCUGCAAGUGGAGGGAGGGGAGAUUAAAGUCGUGUUGGAUUGAGCAGUCCAAGUUUCUUUGACCUCUCCAAGCUUCAGUUUCCUUAUCUGUGAAAUGGGGAUAUUAAUACCUAGCUGUCAGAGGCAUUAGGAGUCAAGGAGCCCACAAAAGGUGCCCAGUAAGCGCCACUGUCCCCUCCUGGGGCCCCCAAGCUUCCCCUAUAACAGCCAAGCUUAGAGGGUGGAGUGGCAAAGGGGCCACCUCCAACAGCCCUGUGCCUGUGGAGCAGCCCCGCAGGCCCCGCUGCCUCCCUCACAUGGGGAGCUGCGGGGGUAGGUCAGGCUAGGGGUUCCAGACAGCUGCCUCCUGGUCUCAUGUGUCAGCUGGGCCGUGGGGUACCUUGAGUAACGGGGAGGCCCCACAAUGACUUCUUUCUUUUUUUCUUCUUUUUCACUGCACCGCGCAGCUUAGUUCCCCGGACAGGGAUGGAACCUGGGCCCCCUGCGGUGGAAGCGUGGAGUCCUAACCACUGGACUGCCAGGGAAGUCCCCCCGCACGAUGACUUUUUGAAAAGCACAGCUUUGAGGGCAGACACAGGCCUCUUGCCACCACUGACACUGGCCUCCAGGAGGCAGGGCUCACAUGUCAUCUUCGUAAUAACCUCACUGCUCUGAAUCGCAGCCCCACCCAGGCUUAGCCCAGAGCCUCCCUGCCCUCCAGAGCUUCCUGGCUCCCUGGUUAGGAAAUGGCUCAAUGCCAGGACCCAGAGAGCUGGGGAAAUCUCACUCCAAUGGGCUCUGUCACGGUGCUCCAGGCAGUUGGUAUUUAUAGAGCACCUACUCUGUGCUAGAGACUUUCCUUACCUUUGCUCAAAUAAUUCUUGAGGUGGGCCUACCAUCUCAUGUCACAGGAGAGAAAGCCAAGGCUCAGGGAGAAGCAGCAUCUGGGCUGAACAACAUUGGAGCUGGGGUUCUAUCCCCAGGGGUGAGCGUCCCCUGCAUCCUGCGUCCCCUGGGCAGGGCAGUGGAAGGAGCAUUGGCUUUGCAGCCCUGGAGUUUGGUGGGUGGUGGUGGGGACUCUGGGCUUUGCAGGAGGACAGAUCCAGGCCCAGUCCUGACUCUGCCCUCGUGUUUUUGCACAUUCUGUUCCCUCUGCUCACUAUGCUCUUCCUGGCAGACUCCUCUCUACCCUGGGUCUCUCUUGGCUUAAGUCUCACCCUUUCUGUGAAGCAGGGCAGUGUAGCCAGGGAUCCACAGGCUUGUUUUCAAAUCCUGCCCCCGCCGAGCUUGGAAGGGAGAAGAAUAAGGGACACAGCAUGCAAACAGCGAACAGCACGGGCAGAGGCAAGAGGUUGUGAGUAGGCCCUUGAGAGCCGCAUCAGCCGGGAGGGUGGAGCCAGGCAGAAGGGAGGAGGCCUGGGUUGGGCUGCCCUGUCACCAUUCUGGGCCUUUGCCCAGGCUGCCUUCCCUGCCUGGCCUACCCUUCCCCUUCUCCUGUCCAAGCCGUCAUGCCUUUAAGUCCCUGUGCAGUGGAGUUCCCUGUCCGUCUCUUCCUGAGCCACCCCUCUUCACAUCCUCCUUCCCCAGUGUUCCCACGGCCCCAGGUGCCGCCUUGAUGUGAGCAGUCGGUGUCUCAGGUCACGCAGGAUGACAGCAGCUGCCCCCAACUCACAGGGUUCUCCAGGGGAUUAAAUGAGGUUGUGCUUGUAGAGCAGCAAACCACACCGCCUCCGACAGUCAGCCGGCUGGGACAUACACGUUCGUGCACGUCAUUAUUAGUAUCUGUGAGUCUCUUGAGGGUAGGGCCUUGUGUCUGGUGUCCUGCUCGCUGCAAGGCAGAAGCAGGGGGCUUGGCGAUAGCUUCCAGCACAAACGGGCAGCCUGUUCUCCUGUGCAAAUGUGAGAUCUAAUAAAGCUACCAGUAACCUACAUAGUUAUCGUGUAUUGAAUGCCUACUUCGUCUUGUUUAAUCCUGACUAACCUUCAACGUGGGAAUUGUUAGACCCAAUUGGCAGAUAGUAUAAUUGAGGCUUAGAGAGCUUAGGCCUGAAAUGCAGAGGAUAAGCAGCUGAGUCGGGUUUUGCACCUGCGUCGGGCUGUGCGUUGGUUAGGACUCUGUCCUGUUAUGCCCUUUGCCGGGUAGUCCAGAUGCCCCCUUCUCUCCCUCCUGGGUGCCCUUCCCCAUCGCCAGGCCACCCCUUGGAGUCACUGGGGUGAGGGGAUGUAGACGUCGGGACCCAUGGUGAUCUGUGUGUUCAUGGGUCCUGUACCCUGUGGCACACGCACACACAUGUGCCUGCAGUGCACAUACAUGCGCACACAUACACUUGACCUCCGUGGCCAACAAGCUCCCCUCACCGGUCUCCAGAGCCACGUCUCUGCAACCGCAACGGCGUGAAGUCUGUGUGAAACGUUUGAGUCGAGCUGUCACUGCUCAUCGAUUUGUUGGCCUCAGUCCCCAAGCUGAUUUCACCGGAGAUCCUGUCAGCUCAUCGUGCAUGGGCCCCACCACCCAGCUCCCUGUCCCCAGUGCAGCGGGCGUGGCGAGGGAGGAGCCAGCACCCUCUAUCCAGUCGCAUCCGGCCCAGCACCUGGGAAGCCCGGGACCUUGCUGGGGGCCCUGGGCAGCUCACGUGACCUCUCUGAGCUCCAGUUUCAGUGACCCCAUCCACUCUGUCUACCCGGUCAGGCGAGGAUUAAAGGGGGAAGAACAGGAGAAUGUAAGGUGGUGGCGGGGGUGGUAUUCAGGGGAGUCCCAGCUGCUGGGGUCCACCUGGGCCCGCUGGGGAAGGUGCUUGCAUAAACCAUAAGUGGUUCUGAACCAAGUGGGGCGUGGGCCAGCCCUGGAUCAUCUUCCCUUGAACUCAGCUCUGGGAGCCACCGGUACCUGCACCCAUCCCAGCAGCCUCUGAGAGGGUGUGGGCAGCCCUCAGGCAGGGGAGGGGCUUUGGGACUCUUCAAAGUAGCCGCAUGGUGGGCCAGAGCUGCCAGUGGCCAGAGGAUAAAGGCAGUGAUGGGGCUGGGAGGACCUGCAUGGGCGUUGAGCCUAGGGCAGGCCAGCUCAGGGAGGAGAAAGCCUGGACCCUGGAGAGGUUCACUCAUUCCUUCCUUCAUUCUGCACGUGUUUGUUGAGCACCUCAUUUGUGCCAUGCAGACCCCAUGCUCAGUAUUGGGUACAGGGCAGUGGACAAGACCCCUGCCCUCAUGGAGAUCACUUCCUGAUGGAGGAACACAGACAAAAAACAUAAUAAGGAAGUAAAAUAUAUCGUGGUCCAGAGUGAUAAGUGCUAAGAAGAAAAAUAAAACAGGGAAGGGAAACGAGGGGUGGAUGGUUUGUUUUUUUUUUCAUUAAUAAAUAAGGUGUCCAAGGAAGGUCUAAUUGAGAAAGUGACAUUUGAGCAAAGACGGCAAGGAGGUGAGGGGCUGAGUCAGAUGGCUCUCUGGGGGAAGAGUAUUCCAGCCCGAGGGAUCAGCCAGGGCAAUGGCCUGGAGCAGGGAGCGGGCCUCACACGGUCAAGGAAUAGCAAGGAGGCCCGCGUGGCUGGAGGGGAGUGAGGGAGGGGGAGGCAGUAGCAGAUGAGCUCAGAGAGGAAAUGGGGGCCAGAUGGUGAGGCCUCCUGGACUCACCAUUUAAAAGGAUCCCUCUG
Molecule: long non-coding RNA, 6003 nt
Organism: Aethalodelphis obliquidens (Pacific white-sided dolphin)
Lineage: Eukaryota; Metazoa; Chordata; Mammalia; Artiodactyla; Delphinidae
Exons: 2
Source: RefSeq, a predicted model, not a curated record